CAGAACGACGCUGGCGGCAUGCCUAACACAUGCAAGUCGAACGAGACCUUCGGGUCUAGUGGCGCACGGGUGCGUAACGCGUGGGAAUCUGCCCUUGGGUUCGGAAUAACUUCGGGAAAACUGAAGCUAAUACCGGAUGAUGACGUAAGUCCAAAGAUUUAUCGCCCAAGGAUGAGCCCGCGUAGGAUUAGCUAGUUGGUGAGGUAAAGGCUCACCAAGGCGACGAUCCUUAGCUGGUCUGAGAGGAUGAUCAGCCACACUGGGACUGAGACACGGCCCAGACUCCUACGGGAGGCAGCAGUGGGGAAUAUUGGACAAUGGGCGAAAGCCUGAUCCAGCAAUGCCGCGUGAGUGAUGAAGGCCUUAGGGUUGUAAAGCUCUUUACCCGGGAUGAUAAUGACAGUACCGGGAGAAUAAGCUCCGGCUAACUCCGUG
Molecule: ribosomal RNA, 435 nt
Filed under: uncultured bacterium
Lineage: Bacteria
Description: bacterial SSU rRNA
Rfam family: Bacterial small subunit ribosomal RNA
Source: RNAcentral